ACUUCUCUAAUAAACUUGCUUUUACUUUAUUCUGCGGAUUUGCCCCGAAUUCUUUCUUGUGUGAGAUGCAAGAACUCUCUCUUGGGGUCUGGAUUGGGACCCCUUUCUGGUAACAAAGACCCCAUGGACCAAGGGCAUAAAAAGAAGGGAUGUCUAAGACUUGCUGGUUCUAUGGCAGGCAGAGGCAGAAAGAGCCCCACCAUCAUUCCCAGCAAAUGGGAAAAGUUCCCAGUUGCAGAUAUUAGGGGUGGGAUGGGGCGGGGGUAGUCAGCAACCAUAGACUUAGACCCUGAAGAGGCAAAAAAGGAGGGCCAUGUUCUUGGGUCAGCAGAGCUUCUACUCAGCUUCUUCAGCCUCUAGCUCUUUCCUGGUGCUAGUAGCACAUUCUCUAGUGGAGGCAUCCAGAUGGCAGGGAGGGUCCAG
This 423-nucleotide long non-coding RNA is filed under the name Homo sapiens (human). RNAcentral's name for it is "non-protein coding lnc-FABP3-3:1". Lineage: Eukaryota; Metazoa; Chordata; Mammalia; Primates; Hominidae. The record is from RNAcentral.